Mauremys reevesii (Reeves's turtle) is the source of this 1155-nucleotide long non-coding RNA. RefSeq lists it as uncharacterized. The transcript is spliced from 3 exons. Lineage: Eukaryota; Metazoa; Chordata; Testudines; Geoemydidae. The record is from RefSeq and is a predicted model, not a curated record.
CUUUAUUUAGAGUGAUGAACCUGGAUGUGUCGAAGCAAUGAUGUGGAGUCGGCCCUGAACAAAUCACCAACCUGCCCUGUUAUCCCAUGACUGCAGAUGCAAACAAUAACUGUGCCACUGCUCGUGAAUUCUGUAUCAAUGAGAAGAGAAUGGCGAAAAAAUAAAACAACACUAAAAGACAUGCCAAGAAGCAAGAAAAAAUGUCCAGCGAGGUGCUCUUCAUGUCCUAAGCUAGAGAACGAUCUCAAUAAUCGGGCUGUUGAAUGUCGACAAAAUGGGUACAUUGUCACUAGAACUGGAAUUAGUCUGCAUGCUCUGCAAAUGUCCAAAGACGACAAAUACAAGUCAGUAAAGCCAUCGAUGUUUGUCACAUCAGCGGGUUGGUGUACUCGCUUCAUGAAUCGCCAUGGUCUCUGUCUUCAUCAGCGAACAAAGAUAGCACAAAAGCUGCCUGGAAAGCUGGAAGAAAAAAUCAAAUCUUUCCAAAGGUUUAUUAUAAAAUAGCGAAAGGAAUAUGCAUUCAAACUGUCACAAAUAGGAAAUAUGGACGACACACCAAUGACAUUCAAUCUCCUGAGCAACAGAACAGUAACCGGUUUUGGUGAAAAAACAGUUUUAAUUAAAACCACUGGCCAUGAAAAAAUCCAUUUUAUGGUGGUUUUAUCAUGUUUGGCAAAUGGAUCAAAGCUCCCUCCUGUUGUUGUUUUUAAAAGAAAAACCUUGCCUAAAAACAUGAAAUUUCCUGCUGGUGUCAUUGUACGUGCACAGGAAAAGGGAUGGAUGGAUGAAAGUGGGACUAUUGAAUGGCUGGAAAAAGUGUGGAAUAAGAGACCAGGAACACUUUUUUCAAGAAAUCUGCUAUGCUCGUUUGGGACGUGUUCAGGGCACACAAGACAGAUGAGGUGAAAAAUGUGGCCAAAAAUAUGAAAACUGCUUUGGCUGUAAUACCUGGAGGCUUAACUUCAAUUCUACAACUGCUUGAUGUCUGCCUGAACAAACCUUUUAAAGACAGGCUACGCAAAAUGUGGUCUGAAUGGAUGUGCUCAGGCAUGGUGAAGUUGACAAAAGGCGGGAAUCUUAUGAAGCCUGAAAUCAAUCUGGUCACCCAGUGGAUCAAGGACGCAUGGGUGUCCAUUCCCUCAGAAAUGGUAGAAA